UACGUAGGGGGCAAGCGUUGUCCGGAUUUAUUGGGCGUAAAGAGCGUGUAGGCGGCCGUACAGGUCAGCUGUGAAAACUCGAGGCUCAACCUCGAGACGUCGGUUGAAACCGUACGGCUAGAGUCCGGAAGAGGAGAGUGGAAUUCCCGGUGUAGCGGUGAAAUGCGCAGAUAUCGGGAAGAACACCCGUGGUGAAGGCGGCUCUCUGGGACGGUACUGACGCUGAGACGCGAAAGCGUGGGGAGCGAACAGG
This 253-nucleotide ribosomal RNA is filed under the name uncultured bacterium. Its description in RNAcentral is "partial 16S ribosomal RNA". It matches the Rfam family "Bacterial small subunit ribosomal RNA", at positions 524 to 776 of the family's 1533-position model. The record is from RNAcentral.